GACGAACGCUGGCGGCGUGCCUAAUACAUGCAAGUCGAACGCUUCUUUCCUCCCGAGUGCUUGCACUCGAUUGGAAAGAGGAGUGGCGGACGGGUGAGUAACACGUGGGUAACCUACCCAUCAGAGGGGGAUAACACUUGGAAACAGGUGCUAAUACCGCAUAACAGUUUAUGCCGCAUGGCAUAAGAGUGAAAGGCGCUUUCGGGUGUCGCUGAUGGAUGGACCCGCGGUGGAUUAGCUAGUUGGUGAGGUAACGGCUCACCAAGGCCACGAUGCAUAGCCGACCUGAGAGGGUGAUCGGCCACACUGGGACUGAGACACGGCCCAGACUCCUACGGGAGGCAGCAGUAGGGAAUCUUCGGCAAUGGACGAAAGUCUGACCGAGCAACGCCGCGUGAGUGAAGAAGGUUUUCGGAUCGUAAAACUCUGUUGUUAGAGAAGAGCAAGGACGUUAGUAACUGAACGUCCCCUGGCGGUAUCUAACCAGAAAGCCACGGCUAACUACGUG
Molecule: ribosomal RNA, 508 nt
Filed under: uncultured bacterium
Lineage: Bacteria
Description: partial 16S ribosomal RNA
Rfam family: Bacterial small subunit ribosomal RNA
Source: RNAcentral